This 301-nucleotide ribosomal RNA is filed under the name uncultured bacterium. RNAcentral's name for it is "partial 16S ribosomal RNA". It matches the Rfam family "Bacterial small subunit ribosomal RNA", at positions 509 to 807 of the family's 1533-position model. The record is from RNAcentral.
CAGCCGCCGCGGGAAUACAGAGGGUGCGAGCGUUAAUCGGAUUUACUGGGCGUAAAGCGUGCGUAGGCGGCUUUUUAAGUCGGAUGUGAAAUCCCUGAGCUUAACUUAGGAAUUGCAUUCGAUACUAGGAAGCUAGAGUAUGGGAGAGGAUGGUAGAAUUCCAGGUGUAGCGGUGAAAUGCGUAGAGAUCUGGAGGAAUACCGAUGGCGAAGGCAGCCAUCUGGCCUAAUACUGACGCUGAGGUACGAAAGCAUGGGGAGCAAACAGGAUUAGAUACCCCGGUAGUCCCUGUCUCUUAUAC